Molecule: ribosomal RNA, 253 nt
Filed under: uncultured bacterium
Lineage: Bacteria
Description: partial 16S ribosomal RNA
Rfam family: Bacterial small subunit ribosomal RNA
Source: RNAcentral
UACAGAGGAUGCAAGCGUUAUCCGGAAUGAUUGGGCGUAAAGCGUCUGUAGGUGGCUUUUUAAGUCCGCCGUCAAAUCCCAGGGCUCAACUCUGGACAGGCGGUGGAAACUACCAAGCUGGAGUACGGUAGGGGUAGAGGGAAUUUCCGGUGGAGCGGUGAAAUGCGUAGAGAUCGGGAGGAACACCAGUGGCGAAGGCGGCUACCUGGACCAGCACUGACACUGAGGCACGAAAGCGUGGGGAGCAAACAGG